GGAGCCAUGCUGUAAACCAAACUGUAGUAAAAUACCUCCUUUUUUUAAGCUGCAUUCUGUCUGCAUUCUGGUGGCUUGCUAGACAACGUAUGAUAUAAACGUGGAGGUUAGUUAGCCUGAUAUCACCAUAUCACUCAGUAGUAAGCACUGUUGAUUUUUUCCCAUGGAAGAAAGAGAAUUAAUUCAAUUUAGUGAUUGGAAUUGCUUUACUGCAGUCUUGUUUUAUCUUGUUUCUCUUUUUUUCUCUUUUUUUUUUUUUCCCCAUCCCUUCCAUAUAUCGCAGAUAUCACAGUUGAUGUUUGCAGGGACCUCUGGAAGUUACCCAGUCUAAACCCCCAUCUCAGGGAGGGCCACACAUAGCCAGUUGCCCAGGUCCCUGUCCAAACAGCUUUUGAAUAUCUCCAAGAAGGGGGACUUUACAGCUCGCUGGACAAGUGGUGCCUGGACUUGGUCACCCUCACAGUAAAAAUGUAGUUCCUGAUAUUCAGGAGGAACCUUCUGUGUUUCAGUCUGUGCCCACUGUGUGACUGUUCACUCAACUCCUGCUCAGGUUUUGGCUAACACACAGCUCAUGCUAAGGCCUGAUGCCUCCUGGGAGCUGGGCCACUAGAUCAAAGUGUGGGCAAACAUACAGGCAGGACACAGUGGCCAGAAAGGGCUAAAGGUCAUGAUGCAGCCACUAUCACCUGCAACUUGCUGUCUCCUGCAGCCAUAAUCCUUUCAUAUUGGUUGUCUGGCAGUUUUUCAGGAUCUGCUAAUGCAUGGAAAUGUUAUAGACCAAACUUCUAAGCUGGAAGGUGUAUAUAUAUGCCAGCUUACCCAAAAAGAUUUUUAAGCGGAUCCAACAGUAGCUGGAAUUAUGAUGUCUUCAUGCUUCCCAGUGUCAUACAGGGGAUGCCUGCACCAUGACGGAGGAAGAAGGAUGAGCACUCUCACCAUAGGCUAGGUUGAUAAAUAGGCCUUCAUCAGCAUCUCAUUCAGACCUGUUAUUACAGACUGUGCUAUGCUUCUGGGAUGAUACAGAAAGAGCCCUUUUCUUCCAAGGGAUCCACAUGCUAAUGACUGGUAAUCUACUGCAUGAAUCUACUGAUUUGUUGAAUUCACAACCAUGCAUGGCAGGAGCAGUGCCAAGAAGGCAUGUCAUUCCCAGAACUGCUGUUAUGUAGACAACUUAUUGUAACACUUGAUAUCUCAGAGCUUCAUAGGAAGAGCUUUAGUCAAGAUUAGCUGUCAUGAUUCGCAGAAAACAGACUCUACAACUCGGAUAGAGUUAUACAGCAGGUUCCUGCUUGGUCUGCUUCCUCAUCUGAUCCAACUGAAAUGCCCUGACCUUGGCCUUUAGACUGAAGUCUCAUGGUUUGGUGUUACCUGCAAAGUUGGUGAGAGUGCACUCCAUCUUCUCCAUAUUUACAGAUAAUAAACAGGACAAGGACCCGUGGUAGACCCUGACAAACUAUGCUCGUUAACAGCUUCUUGGUAGGGUACAAAACUUUGACUGCUACACUUUGACCUUGAUUCCAGCCAGUUUUCACCCAUCUAAUUAUCUACCCAUCCACCCAGAUGAGGUACAAGAAUUAUGUGGGAAACUGUGUCAGGAGCCCUACCAAAGACAGUAUAAUACUAGAACUUCCUCCUCAUGGAAUAAACCUUUUUGGUAUAAAAUCAAACACUCAGGAAAUAGUUACCUGAUGGCACUAGAGGAAUUCAGUAUCCAACUUGAAAGAAAAUAUUUUGAUCUCCAAGGAGAAGACAUGACAGGAAUUAUUUUGACAAUUUAAGUCUUAGCAAGCCUCUUCAAAGAAUUUCUUAUGCUUGAUUUGGACUUUUGCUUGGAACAAGAUUUUGAUUACUUUUCAGCUACCAUGAGGGCAACUUCAAUCAGCUCACUGAGCAAGAGUCAGGAUUUUAACUCAUACCUGUACGCUACAUGUGUGAAUAAGGCAUCUGGUCUGUAAGCAGAAAAAGGUUAAUUCAGAAUGCAAGCUGUAUUAAUUAAACAUUGGUUACUGUGCUAAAAUACAAAUAUUUAAGUCUGAAUGAAGAUAAUCAAAUGUCAUGUUCCAAACAUGAAAAUGAUGUCUUCAGAAAAAAAUCACGUGUAUGUUUUUAAAUACAGAACAUCUGUGUAAAACAUUGUAUAUGAACUUACGAAUCAAUGACCUAUUUCAGUAUUACAAAUCCUCUCAUGAUUUUCUUUUCCACUUCUGAAUAUGUCCCAACUAUUGCACAAAAUCACUAGGACAAGCUUUGGACAUUGGCAAAAGAUAGCCAGGGAGAGGGGAACAAUCAAUUAUUUUGCAAGAUAAUUUUUAUAAUAUGUUAUCCACUUUUGUUCUGC
Athene cunicularia (burrowing owl) is the source of this 2338-nucleotide long non-coding RNA. RefSeq lists it as uncharacterized. Lineage: Eukaryota; Metazoa; Chordata; Aves; Strigiformes; Strigidae. The record is from RefSeq and is a predicted model, not a curated record. The transcript has 4 exons.